GGAAGUAAAAGUUCGUAACGAGGUUUCCGUAGGUGAACCUUCGGAAGGAUCAUUACAGUUACGCGGCGGCUCGGCCCGCGCAAGCGACCGGCCGCUACACGCGUUUCUCCACCCUUGAUUUUGAGCACCUUUGUUUCCUCGGCGGGUCCGCCCGCCAGCGAGGACCCCAUUGAACUCUUUGUAGUAGCAGUUUUUGUCUGAAAAUACAACGAAUAAUCAAAACUUUCAACAAUGGAUCUCUUGGUUCUG
RNAcentral lists this unclassified non-coding RNA (249 nucleotides) under plant metagenome. Its description in RNAcentral is "partial contains small subunit ribosomal RNA, internal transcribed spacer 1, and 5.8S ribosomal RNA". The stretch from base 1 to 55 matches the Rfam family "Eukaryotic small subunit ribosomal RNA", at positions 1778 to 1831 of the family's 1831-position model. The record is from RNAcentral.